GAUGAACGCUGGCGGCGUGCCUAAUACAUGCAAGUCGCGCGAACGGACGAGAAGCUUGCUUCUCUGAUGUUAGCGGCGGACGGGUGAGUAACACGUGGAUAACCUACCUAUAAGACUGGGAUAACUUCGGGAAACCGGAGCUAAUACCGGAUGAUAUUUUGAACCGCAUGGUUCAAAAGUGAAAGACGGUCUUGCUGUCACUUAUAGAUGGAUCCGCGCUGCAUUAGCUAGUUGGUAAGGUAACGGCUUACCAAGGCAACGAUGCAUAGCCGACCUGAGAGGGUGAUCGGCCACACUGGAACUGAGACACGGUCCAGACUCCUACGGGAGGCAGCAGUAGGGAAUCUUCCGCAAUGGGCGAAAGCCUGACGGAGCAACGCCGCGUGAGUGAUGAAGGUCUUCGGAUCGUAAAACUCUGUUAUUAGGGAAGAACAUAUGUGUAAGUAACUGUGCACAUCUUGACGGUACCUAAUCAGAAAGCCACGGCUAACUACGUG
This 497-nucleotide ribosomal RNA is filed under the name uncultured bacterium. RNAcentral describes it as "partial 16S ribosomal RNA". It matches the Rfam family "Bacterial small subunit ribosomal RNA", at positions 28 to 507 of the family's 1533-position model. The record is from RNAcentral.